This 44-nucleotide non-coding RNA is filed under the name Trichobilharzia regenti. Lineage: Eukaryota; Metazoa; Platyhelminthes; Trematoda; Strigeidida; Schistosomatidae. The record is from RNAcentral.
AUCUAGCUGACGAGUCCUAAAUAGGACGAAUGCGUAUCUUAAAU